Molecule: ribosomal RNA, 419 nt
Filed under: bacterium
Lineage: Bacteria
Description: partial 16S ribosomal RNA
Rfam family: Bacterial small subunit ribosomal RNA
Source: RNAcentral
UGGGGGAUAUUGCACAAUGGGCGAAAGCCUGAUGCAGCGACGCCGCGUGGGGGAUGAAGGCCUUCGGGUUGUAAACUUCUUUUGCUCUGAACAAGGCAUGCUAAUGGGUGUGUUGAGUGUAGGGGUUGAUUAGCGCCGGCUAACUACGUGCCAGCAGCCGCGGUAAUACGUAGGGCGCGAGCGUUGUCCGGAAUUAUUGGGCGUAAAGGGCUUGUAGGUGGCUGGUUGCGUCUGUCGUGAAAGCUCAUGGCUUAACUGUAGGUUUGCGGUGGGUACGGGCUGGCUUGAGUGCAGUAGGGGAGGCUGGAAUUCCUGGUGUAGCGGUGGAAUGCGCAGAUAUCAGGAGGAAUACCGGUGGCGAAGGCGGGUCUCUGGGCUGUUACUGACACUGAGGAGCGAAAGCAUGGGGAGCGAACAGG